RNAcentral lists this ribosomal RNA (253 nucleotides) under uncultured bacterium. RNAcentral describes it as "partial 16S ribosomal RNA". It matches the Rfam family "Bacterial small subunit ribosomal RNA", at positions 524 to 776 of the family's 1533-position model. The record is from RNAcentral.
UACGUAGGGUGCAAGCGUUGUCCGGAAUUAUUGGGCGUAAAGAGCUCGUAGGCGGUCUGUCGCGUCGGCUGUGAAAACCUAGGGCUCAACCCUGGGCCUGCAGCCGAUACGGGCAGACUAGAAUUCGGUGGGGGAGACUGGAAUUCCUGGUGUAGCGGUGAAAUGCGCAGAUAUCAGGAGGAACACCGGUGGCGAAGGCGGGUCUCUGGGCCGAUAUUGACGCUGAGGAGCGAAAGCGUGGGGAGCGAACAGG